RNAcentral lists this ribosomal RNA (492 nucleotides) under uncultured bacterium. RNAcentral's name for it is "partial 16S ribosomal RNA". It matches the Rfam family "Bacterial small subunit ribosomal RNA", at positions 29 to 507 of the family's 1533-position model. The record is from RNAcentral.
AGUGAACGCUGGCGGUAGGCCUAACACAUGCAAGUCGAACGGCAGCACAGUAAGAGCUUGCUCUUACGGGUGGCGAGUGGCGGACGGGUGAGGAAUACAUCGGAAUCUACUUUUUCGUGGGGGAUAACGUAGGGAAGCUUACGCUAAUACCGCAUACGACCUACGGGUGAAAGCAGGGGAUCUUCGGACCUUGCGCGAUUGAAUGAGCCGAUGUCGGAUUGGCUAGUUGGCGGGGUAAAGGCCCACCAAGGCGACGAUCCGUAGCUGGUCUGAGAGGAUGAUCAGCCACACUGGAACUGAGACACGGUCCAGACUCCUACGGGAGGCAGCAGUGGGGAAUAUUGGACAAUGGGCGCAAGCCUGAUCCAGCCAUACCGCGUGGGUGAAGAAGGCCUUCGGGUUGUAAAGCCCUUUUGUUGGGAAAGAAAAGCAGCAGGUUAAUACCCCGCUGUUCUGACGGUACCCAAAGAAUAAGCACCGGCUAACUUCGUG